UUAAUACUCUCUCCAUCCCAUUAUUCUUGUCUCAAAUUUGCCCAAAAAGGGAUGUAUCUAUUCCUUAAAAGCGUCUAGAUACAUGUAAUAUUUCGACAAGAAUUAUGGGACGGAGGGAGUAUUAU
Molecule: non-coding RNA, 125 nt
Organism: Brachypodium distachyon (stiff brome)
Lineage: Eukaryota; Viridiplantae; Streptophyta; Magnoliopsida; Poales; Poaceae
Source: Rfam